UGUAUUCUGAAUUUAAAUUUAAUUGGUAGACUGAGUAAUGCAGAUUGCUCUCCCUAAGGUGAGUGGACCUCAUC
Mustela erminea (ermine) is the source of this 74-nucleotide long non-coding RNA. RefSeq lists it as uncharacterized. The record is from RefSeq and is a predicted model, not a curated record. NCBI's taxonomy places the organism in Eukaryota, Metazoa, Chordata, Mammalia, Carnivora, Mustelidae. The transcript is spliced from 3 exons.